CCUACGGGUGGCAGCAGUGGGGGAUAUUGCACAAUGGGGGGAACCCUGAUGCAGCGACGCCGCGUGGGUGAAGAAGCGCCUCGGCGCGUAAAGCUCUGUCAGCAGGGAAGAAAAUGACGGUACCUGAAGAAGAAGCCCCGGCUAACUACGUGCCAGCAGCCGCGGUAAUACGUAGGGGGCAAGCGUUAUCCGGAUUUACUGGGUGUAAAGGGGGCGUAGACGGCGGCACAAGCCAGGAGUGAAAGCCCGGGGCUUAACCCCGGGACUGCUUUGGAAACUGGGUGGCUGGAGUGCAGGAGGGGCAGGCGGAAUUCCUGGUGUAGCGGUGAAAUGCGUAGAUAUCAGGAGGAACACCGGUGGCGAAGGCGGCCUACUGGACUGCAACUGACGUUGAGGCCCGAAAGCGUGGGGAGCAAACAGGAUUAGAUACCCCUGUAGUC
RNAcentral lists this ribosomal RNA (440 nucleotides) under uncultured bacterium. RNAcentral's name for it is "partial 16S ribosomal RNA". It matches the Rfam family "Bacterial small subunit ribosomal RNA", at positions 338 to 795 of the family's 1533-position model. The record is from RNAcentral.